RNAcentral lists this ribosomal RNA (253 nucleotides) under uncultured bacterium. RNAcentral's name for it is "partial 16S ribosomal RNA". It matches the Rfam family "Bacterial small subunit ribosomal RNA", at positions 524 to 776 of the family's 1533-position model. The record is from RNAcentral.
UACGUAGGGGGCAAGCGUUGUCCCGAAUUAUUGGGCGUAAAGAGCGUGUAGGCGGCCAGAUAAGUCCGCUGUGAAAUCUCGAGGCUCAACUUCGAGCUGUCGGUGGAAACUAUCUGGCUAGAGUCCGGAAGAGGAGAAUGGAAUUCCUGGUGUAGCGGUGAAAUGCGCAGAUAUCAGGAAGAACACCCGUGGCGAAGGCGGUUCUCUGGGACGGUACUGACGCUGAGACGCGAAAGCGUGGGGAGCGAACAGG